Molecule: ribosomal RNA, 429 nt
Filed under: Chloroflexota bacterium
Lineage: Bacteria; Bacillati; Chloroflexota
Description: Chloroflexi bacterium partial 16S ribosomal RNA
Rfam family: Bacterial small subunit ribosomal RNA
Source: RNAcentral
UGGGGAAUAUUGCACAAUGGGCGCAAGCCUGAUGCAGCCAUGCCGCGUGUGUGAAGAAGGCCUUCGGGUUGUAAAGCACUUUCAGCGGGGAGGAAGGCGAUAAGGUUAAUAACCUCAUCGAUUGACGUUACCCGCAGAAGAAGCACCGGCUAACUCCGUGCCAGCAGCCGCGGUAAUACGGAGGGUGCAAGCGUUAAUCGGAAUUACUGGGAGUAAAGCGCACGCAGGCGGUCUGUCAAGUCGGAUGUGAAAUCCCCGGGCUCAACCUGGGAACUGCAUUCGAAGCUGGCAGGCUAGAGGCUUGUAGAGGGGGGUAGAAUUCCAGGUGUAGCGGUGAAAUGCGUAGAGAUCUGGAGGAAUACCGGUGGCGAAGGCGGCCCCCUGGACAAAGACUGACGCUCAGGUGCGAAAGCGUGGGGAGCAAACAGG